UUUGUUAGUUGAAAAAGCUUAAGUUUUGGUGACUUUAAUAGUGAACUAGUGUUUAGGAGGUGAUGUUGUUGGUGACUUUAUUUGUUGAAAAUGCUUAAGUGCCGGUGACUUUAAAAGUGAACUUUUGUUUAGAAGGUGAUGUUGUUGGUGACUUUAUUUGAUGAAAAUGCUUAAGUGCCGAUGACUUUAAUAGGGAACUUUUGUUUGGAAGGUGAUGCUGUUGGUUACUUUAUUUGUUGAAAAUGCUUAAGUGCCGGUGACUUUAAUAAUGCUUAAGUUUUGGUGACUUGUUUAGUGAACCAGUGUUUAGGAGGUGAUGUUGUUGGUGCCUUUAUUUGUUGAAAAUGCUUAAGUUUUGGUGACUUUAAUAGUGAAUUAGUGUUAAGGAGGUGAUGUUGUUGGUUACUUUAUUUGUUGAAAAUGCUUAAGUGCCG
Molecule: long non-coding RNA, 434 nt
Filed under: Capsicum annuum
Lineage: Eukaryota; Viridiplantae; Streptophyta; Magnoliopsida; Solanales; Solanaceae
Description: long non-coding RNA (CANN_LNC002523)
Source: RNAcentral